AUCGCUUCUCUGGCUUUUAGCUGAGAUCAAGUGUGGUAUCUGUUCUUAUCAAUUUAAUAAAUAUUGUGGAAAAUUUUAAAACUACCACUGGAUAUCCAGAACUCUGAACUUCUUAUAGUCUAGUUCAUAGAUCUUUUACUAUUUACUGGAAAAUCUGU
RNAcentral lists this small nuclear RNA (158 nucleotides) under Suricata suricatta (meerkat). RNAcentral describes it as "U2 spliceosomal RNA (ENSSSUG00005017986.1)". The stretch from base 1 to 114 matches the Rfam family "U2 spliceosomal RNA". From Rfam's summary of the family: U2 is a small nuclear RNA (snRNA) component of the spliceosome (involved in pre-mRNA splicing). Complementary binding between U2 snRNA (in an area lying towards the 5' end but 3' to hairpin I) and the branchpoint sequence (BPS) of the intron results the bulging out of an unpaired adenosine, on the BPS, which initiates a nucleophilic attack at the intronic 5' splice site, thus starting the first of two transesterification reactions that mediate splicing. Lineage: Eukaryota; Metazoa; Chordata; Mammalia; Carnivora; Herpestidae. The record is from RNAcentral.